This 1532-nucleotide ribosomal RNA is filed under the name Staphylococcus aureus. Its description in RNAcentral is "partial 23S ribosomal RNA". It matches the Rfam family "Bacterial large subunit ribosomal RNA", at positions 263 to 1795 of the family's 2925-position model. The record is from RNAcentral. Lineage: Bacteria; Bacillati; Bacillota; Bacilli; Caryophanales; Staphylococcaceae.
AAGAGCCCAAACCAACAAGCUUGCUUGUUGGGGUUGUAGGACACUCUAUACGGAGUUACAAAGGACGACAUUAGACGAAUCAUCUGGAAAGAUGAAUCAAAGAAGGUAAUAAUCCUGUAGUCGAAAAUGUUGUCUCUCUUGAGUGGAUCCUGAGUACGACGGAGCACGUGAAAUUCCGUCGGAAUCUGGGAGGACCAUCUCCUAAGGCUAAAUACUCUCUAGUGACCGAUAGUGAACCAGUACCGUGAGGGAAAGGUGAAAAGCACCCCGGAAGGGGAGUGAAAUAGAACCUGAAACCGUGUGCUUACAAGUAGUCAGAGCCCGUUAAUGGGUGAUGGCGUGCCUUUUGUAGAAUGAACCGGCGAGUUACGAUUUGAUGCAAGGUUAAGCAGUAAAUGUGGAGCCGUAGCGAAAGCGAGUCUGAAUAGGGCGUUUAGUAUUUGGUCGUAGACCCGAAACCAGGUGAUCUACCCUUGGUCAGGUUGAAGUUCAGGUAACACUGAAUGGAGGACCGAACCGACUUACGUUGAAAAGUGAGCGGAUGAACUGAGGGUAGCGGAGAAAUUCCAAUCGAACCUGGAGAUAGCUGGUUCUCUCCGAAAUAGCUUUAGGGCUAGCCUCAAGUGAUGAUUAUUGGAGGUAGAGCACUGUUUGGACGAGGGGCCCCUCUCGGGUUACCGAAUUCAGACAAACUCCGAAUGCCAAUUAAUUUAACUUGGGAGUCAGAACAUGGGUGAUAAGGUCCGUGUUCGAAAGGGAAACAGCCCAGACCACCAGCUAAGGUCCCAAAAUAUAUGUUAAGUGGAAAAGGAUGUGGCGUUGCCCAGACAACUAGGAUGUUGGCUUAGAAGCAGCCAUCAUUUAAAGAGUGCGUAAUAGCUCACUAGUCGAGUGACACUGCGCCGAAAAUGUACCGGGGCUAAACAUAUUACCGAAGCUGUGGAUUGUCCUUUGGACAAUGGUAGGAGAGCGUUCUAAGGGCGUUGAAGCAUGAUCGUAAGGACAUGUGGAGCGCUUAGAAGUGAGAAUGCCGGUGUGAGUAGCGAAAGACGGGUGAGAAUCCCGUCCACCGAUUGACUAAGGUUUCCAGAGGAAGGCUCGUCCGCUCUGGGUUAGUCGGGUCCUAAGCUGAGGCCGACAGGCGUAGGCGAUGGAUAACAGGUUGAUAUUCCUGUACCACCUAUAAUCGUUUUAAUCGAUGGGGGGACGCAGUAGGAUAGGCGAAGCGUGCGAUUGGAUUGCACGUCUAAGCAGUAAGGCUGAGUAUUAGGCAAAUCCGGUACUCGUUAAGGCUGAGCUGUGAUGGGGAGAAGACAUUGUGUCUUCGAGUCGUUGAUUUCACACUGCCGAGAAAAGCCUCUAGAUAGAAAAUAGGUGCCCGUACCGCAAACCGACACAGGUAGUCAAGAUGAGAAUUCUAAGGUGAGCGAGCGAACUCUCGUUAAGGAACUCGGCAAAAUGACCCCGUAACUUCGGGAGAAGGGGUGCUCUUUAGGGUUAACGCCCAGAAGAGCCGCAGUGAAUAGGCCCAA